AGUGUGCAUUGAAGUUUGACGGUGAAUAUCUUCUGAACAGAGAGGUAUACAAAAAAAUUGUAAGAGACCUUUUUUGGAGAGAAUUCAAUUUCUUACAAAAAUGUGAUACGUUUUUUUUUAUAAAUAGUAAAUACCGAGAUAUGUAUUUCUCUUCCUCACC
RNAcentral lists this long non-coding RNA (160 nucleotides) under Neodiprion lecontei (redheaded pine sawfly). Its description in RNAcentral is "uncharacterized LOC124295347". The record is from RNAcentral. Lineage: Eukaryota; Metazoa; Arthropoda; Insecta; Hymenoptera; Diprionidae.